AUUGAACGCUGGCGGCAGGCCUAACACAUGCAAGUCGAACGGUAACAGGAAGCAGCUUGCUGCUUUGCUGACGAGUGGCGGACGGGUGAGUAAUGUCUGGGAAACUGCCUGAUGGAGGGGGAUAACUACUGGAAACGGUAGCUAAUACCGCAUAACGUCGCAAGACCAAAGAGGGGGACCUUAGGGCCUCUUGCCAUCGGAUGUGCCCAGAUGGGAUUAGCUAGUAGGUGGGGUAACGGCUCACCUAGGCGACGAUCCCUAGCUGGUCUGAGAGGAUGACCAGCCACACUGGAACUGAGACACGGUCCAGACUCCUACGGGAGGCAGCAGUGGGGAAUAUUGCACAAUGGGCGCAAGCCUGAUGCAGCCAUGCCGCGUGUAUGAAGAAGGCCUUCGGGUUGUAAAGUACUUUCAGCGGGGAGGAAGGGAGUAAAGAUAAUACCUUUGCUCAUUGACGUUACCCGCAGAAGAAGCACCGGCUAACUCCGUG
RNAcentral lists this ribosomal RNA (490 nucleotides) under uncultured bacterium. RNAcentral's name for it is "partial 16S ribosomal RNA". It matches the Rfam family "Bacterial small subunit ribosomal RNA", at positions 30 to 507 of the family's 1533-position model. The record is from RNAcentral.